UGCCCUCAAACACUUUUCCAGGAUUUCUUGUGUUGACACAUAAAUGUUGCAACCAUAUUUGUGCCUUAAAUUCAAGUGCUGUUUCAUUUCUCUGCCUUUCAAUCCCAAUCGGAAUGUCAAGUUUAUUUGUAUAACAUUUAAGUAUAUUCAAUAAACUUACAAUGAUCUAAAUUGGGACACUUUUAUACUUAAGUAUAUUAAGAGGGGAGGGGGUAGAUCAGCCUUAAUAUUGCUGCAUCAUUACCAAUCCCUCCUAUAUAUUUGUGUCUGUAUAUAUGCAUCAUUUUUAUUUUUGUAAAUAUAUUUUCCUUUAUUUUCCCUGAACCCUACCACCCCUCCCUAAUUGGAGUAAACUAAUGGACAAAAACACUUAGGCUUCUACUUCCAGCUUAUACAUAUUCGAUGUACUUGUGCAUGUGACAUAAAUUGAAACUGUAUACAUUUUACAGACCGUAUAUUUUACAGUAGUUUUUUGUAUUUUUUAAUCCCAUCCUUCAGCGACCCUCAACCCCUCCCGUCUACUGUGUCUCUGAAGAGCAUCCAGUUUUAAUUUGUAUUUGCCAUAUUUUUGACUGUUACACAAAAGAUCUGAACCUGUAUACAUUUUACAGACCAGCAUGUCUUACAUGAGUUCUUGUUGUUAUUAACCCUUCAGCUCCACUCAACACCAUCUAUCUCUUAACACCAUCCAGUUUUGAUUUCUAUUUGCCAUAUAUUUUUCAACUGUGCUGUGACUUAAAUAUAUUUAGUAUAGUAUAUUAGAGCAAAAAAAUCUAUACUUCAAAUACAUUUUAUGUAUAUUUCUCAAAUUAUACUGAAUUAAAAUAUAAAUGCAACGAUUUCAAAGAUUUUACUGAGUUAUCGUUCAUAUAGGGAAAUCAGUCAAUUUAAAUGAAUUCAUUAGGCUCAAAUCUAUGGAUUUCCCAUGACUGGGAAUACAGAAAAGGCAAGGGGGUGGAUCAGAAAACCAGUCAGUAUCUGGUGUGACGGCCUCAUGGAGCACGACACUUCCUUUGCAUAGACAUGACCAUGCUGUUGAUUGUGGCCUGUGGAAUGUUGUCCAACUCCUCUUCAAUGGCUGUGCGAAUUUGCUGGAUAUUGGCGGGAACUGGAACACGCUGUCGUACACGUUAAUCUAGAACAUCCCAAACAUGCUCAAUGGGUGACAUGUCUGGUACCACUACUGGCUGGUGGCCAAAAACAGAUCCACAUUGGGCAAACAGCCAAUCCAAGGCAUCUAAUGUAGAUGGAGGUCUUGGAGCGGUGCCGGACACUAUCCAGCAGGGAAGAGCUCCGUAGUGCCUGACUCCUGAGAAUCACAUAGCCAGCUACUGUUCAUCUGCCUGUGACUGGAUGAAUGGCCCAUACAGGGAAGAGCUCCGUAGUGCCUGACUCCUGAGAAUCACAUAGCCAGCUACUGUUCAUCUGCCUGUGACUGGAUGAAUGGCCCAUACAGGGAAGAGCUCCGUAGUGCCUGACUCCUGAGAAUCACAUAGCCAGCUACUGUUCAUCUGCCUGUGACUGGAUGAAUGGCCCAUACAGGGAAGAGCUCCGUAGUGCCUGACUCCUGAGAAUCACAUAGCCAGCGACUGUUCAUCUGCCUGUGACUGGAUGAAUGGCCCAUACAUUCAGUGAGCUCUUGGAGCAAUAGGAAGGAUUGUGGUGAAUACUGUAGUUUCUAUGUGUCUAUGGCAACUGGAAGCUAUGUUUUUCUCUCUGGUUAUCAUUUAAUAGGUAAUUAUAGCACUUGGUAGAAACCGAAGUGGCUCUUUAGGUGCACUGACAAUUAGCAGUAAUGACGUCAUGUCUUGGUGCUGGUCACAACAAAUACAUGACUGUAUAUAAGAGCAGUCUUCCAUUGGUGAAUAUUUUAAGCUGUUCUAAAUGGGGACUUUGUCUCGGUUGAAUCUGAUCCCUUGUUUUGGGAAAUCACCAUGUCUGUUGUUAAUGUCUAAUUCAACAAUGUAAGUGUAUGACUACUGGGUGUACGGUAACAACCACACAUACUGAUUGACCUAUGAGGUACAGUGCCUUGCAAAAGUAUUCACCCCCUUGGCAUUUUACUAUUUUGUCAUUUAAAUCCAUUUUAUUUGGAUUUCAUGUAAUGGACAUACAAAAUAGUCCAAAUUGGUGAAGUGAAAUGAAAAAAAUAACUUGUUUCAAAAACAUUUAACGGAAAAGUGGUGCGUGCAUUUGUAUUCACACCCAUUUGCUAUGAAGCCCCUAAAUAAGAUCUGGUGCAACCAAUUACCUUCAGAAGUUACAUAAUUAGUUAAAUAAAGUCCACCAGUUUGCAAUCUAAGUGUCACAUGAACUCAGUAUAAAUACACCUGUUCUGAAAGGCCCCAGAGUCUGCAACACCACUAAGCAAGGGGCACCACAAAGCAAGCGGUACCAUGAAGACCAAGGAGCUCUCCAAACAGGUCAGGGACAAAGUUGUGAAGAAGUACAGAUCAGGGUAGGGUUAUAAAAAAAAUAUAGACAUUUUUAACAUCCCACGGAGCAGCAUUAAAUCCAAUAAUAAAAAAUGGAAAGAAUGUGGCUCCACAACAAACCUGCCAAGAGCCGGCCCCCCACCAAAACUCACAGACCAGGCAAGGAGGGCAUUAAUCAGAGAGGCAACAAAGAGACCAAAGAUAGCCCUGAAGGACCUGCAAAACUCCACAGCAGAGAUUGGAGUAUCUGUCCAUAAGACCACUUUAAUCCAUACACUCCACAGAGUUGGGCUUUAUGGAAGAGUGGCCAGAAAAAAAGCCAUUGCUUAAAGAAAAAAAUAAACAAACACGUUUGGUGUUCGCCAAAAGGCAUGUGGAAGACUCUCCAAACAUAUGGAAGAAGGUACUCUGGUUAGAUGAGACUAAAAUUGAGCUUUUUGGCCAUCAAGGAAAAUGCUAUAUCUGGUGCAAACCCAACACCUCUCAUCACCAUGAGAACACCAUCCCCACAGUGAAGCAUGGUGGUGGCAGAAUCAUGUUGUGGGUAUGUUUUUCCAUCGGCAGGGACUGGGAAACUGGUCACAAUUGAAGGAAUGAUGAAUGGCGCUAAAUACAGGGAAAUUCUUGAGGGAAACCUGUUUCAGUCCUCCAGAGAUUUGAGACUGGGACAGAGGUUCACCUUCCAGCAGGACAAUGACCCUAAGCAUACUGCGAGAGCAACACUUGAGUGGUUUAAUUGGAAACAUUUAAAUGUCUUGGAAUGGCCAAGUCAAAGCCCAGACUUCAAUCCAAUUGAGAAUCUGUGGUAUGAUUUAAAGAUUGCUCUACAUCAGCGGUACCCAUCCAACUUGAAGGAGCUGGAGCAGUUUUGCCUUGAAGAAUGGGCAAAAAUCCCAGUGGCUAGAUGUGCCAAGCUUAUAGAGACACCCUAAGAGACUUGCAGCUGUAAUUGCUGCAAAAGGUGGCUCUACAAUGUAUUGACUUUGGAGGGGUGAAUAGUUAUGCACGCUCAAGUUUACCAUUUUCUUUGUCUUAUUGCUUGUUUGUUUCACAAUAAAAAAUAUUUUGCAUCUUCAAAGUCGUAGGCAUGUUGUGUAAAUCAAAUGAUACAAAUCCCCCAAAAUCUAUUUUAAUUCCAGGUUGUAAGGCAACAAAAUAGGAAAAAUGCCAAGAGGGGUGAAUACUUUUGCAAGCCACUGUACAUAUUAAUUUGCACUAAUUACAGGUACUCACUCAAUCAUUGUCAAGACACCCCACAUGUUCGUUCACUGUUAUACCUAUUGGUCAUCUACAUGUCAUAGCAGUCCGGAAAUAGGUUAGGUUGGUUAGUAUGAUGACAGGCAGCCUUGCUAAAUGGUCUGUGGACAAGACAUCUUUUGCUCUCUAAGCUAUUCAUGGAUAUGGAAUUGAAUCAUA
This is a long non-coding RNA of Oncorhynchus masou masou (cherry salmon), 3851 nucleotides long. RefSeq lists it as uncharacterized. The transcript is spliced from 3 exons. The record is from RefSeq and is a predicted model, not a curated record. Lineage: Eukaryota; Metazoa; Chordata; Actinopteri; Salmoniformes; Salmonidae.